RNAcentral lists this unclassified non-coding RNA (161 nucleotides) under uncultured Ochroconis. RNAcentral describes it as "sequence contains ITS2". The record is from RNAcentral. Lineage: Eukaryota; Fungi; Ascomycota.
CACACUCCAAGCGAAGCUUGAUGUUGGACGAUGCGGUCCUCUGAGGAUCGCACGUCUGGAACGCGUGGGCGCCCCCCGCCGGAACGUGAACGUAGCAAGACGUCAGUCAAAAUCGUUCAGCUAGUUUCUGACGGAGGGUAGCCUUAUCUCUUUUACAAGAA